AGUGAACGCUGGCGAUAGGCCUAACACAUGCAGGUCGAACGGCAGCACAGUAAGAGCUUGCUCUUACGGGUGGCGAGUGGCGGACGGGUGAGGAAUACAUCGGAAUCUACUUUUUCGUGGGGGAUAACGUAGGGAAACUUACGCUAAUACCGCAUACGACCUACGGGUGAAAGCAGGGGAUCUUCGGACCUUGCGCGAUUGAAUGAGCCGAUGUCGGAUUAGCUAGUUGGCGGGGUAAAGGCCCACCAAGGCGACGAUCCGUAGCUGGUCUGAGAGGAUGAUCAGCCACACUGGAACUGAGGCACGGUCCAGACUCCUACGGGAGGCAGCAGUGGGGAAUAUUGGACAAUGGGCGCAAGCCUGAUCCAGCCAUACCGCGUGGGUGAAGAAGGCCUUCGGGUUGUAAAGCCCUUUUGUUGGGAAAGAAAAGCAGCAGGUUAAUACCCCGCUGUUCUGACGGUACCCAAAGAAUAAGCACCGGCUAACUUCGUG
This 492-nucleotide ribosomal RNA is filed under the name uncultured bacterium. RNAcentral's name for it is "partial 16S ribosomal RNA". It matches the Rfam family "Bacterial small subunit ribosomal RNA", at positions 29 to 507 of the family's 1533-position model. The record is from RNAcentral.